UUACUAUCUGUGCAUGUCAUUGGAUGAUUUUUGUCGCUGUUACUUUUGAAAAGUGUAACAGCAGUAACUAGUUACUUUUAAAUACUAAACAGGUUGAGUAAAUAGCGCUCGUCCCUAAUUCAAGCCAUAACAAAUUGACAAUGACAAAACAUGUAACAAAUUCUUCUAAAUCGCAAUCCGACAUAAGUAGAUGGCUUUUUUGAUGUUUCCAAAGCUAACCCACCCUGUGUUUGUUUUAUAUUCUCAUCCUCUUCUUAACUUAGACUCCCUAUGGCAUCAUCUGAACGGCAUAGAUUUUCCUCCCCUGCAUCAGUAAGCUAAAGGUUAUAACGUAUACAAAUAUCCAAUCACGCGAAAUAAGAUAACAGAAAGUCAAUAUGUACACUGACACAACUUCAAAUUGAAGCAUAUAUUUUGAAAACAAAUGUGGAUCAAACGAUCCACAAAAUAUAUAUUUAUCUUACCCGUUGCACACAAUAUCACAUAAGUUUAUGGUCUCAUCAACUGAGAAAUACAUAAGUAUUCUAAUAUCGUUUAAAAAAUUGUAAACAAACACAGCCUGGAGACAACAUCGACAUAAGCCGUAAUUAAACGAUCUUCUUAUGACAUAAAAAUUGAGUCCCAAACAUCAUUCCACAGUAUGACACAGUUAAAACUUCGGCUGAUUAAAUGCAAAGAUAUAUGUCCUGUGCGACCAAUCCAUUCAAUAAUAGUUUAAAUUCGUUUUGACCGACGACUUUUAAGCAUAGGCAACAGCGAGGUCUGAGAACUUAAGUGAUACUCGGUUGCGCAAGAGACAGGAUACUUAUUUGCGCAAGAGACAGGGCGUGGAAGCGAUUGAUUAUUGGGUUGUGAUAUGCAAAUACAUGCAGAUUCAUACAUACAUAUACAUAUGUAUAUGGUACAUAUGUAGGUACAUAUGUGGCUGACAGGGGAAAGGACGCAUAUGCGAACGAAAAAAAGUUAAAUAUGAAUAUACAUAUGAAUGUAUUUGUCAUCUGUCAGACACGCGAAAAAAGCCACCAUACAGUCAUCGUAACACUGUAUCUAUGAAAAUUAUGCUGAUCUACCAGACAGGCUGCUCCAGUGUGGCCAAAUUAAAAAUAUUUUAACGCCGCUUUUAUGUUUUUAAGCA
This 1135-nucleotide small RNA is filed under the name Drosophila virilis. RNAcentral describes it as "GJ25943". Lineage: Eukaryota; Metazoa; Arthropoda; Insecta; Diptera; Drosophilidae. The record is from RNAcentral.